UUUUGUGGAGGGUUCGAUUCUGGCUCAGGAUGAACGCUGGCGGCGUGCUUAACACAUGCAAGUCGAACGGGAUCCAUCAGGCUUUGCUUGGUGGUGAGAGUGGCGAACGGGUGAGUAAUGCGUGACCGACCUGCCCCAUACACCGGAAUAGCUCCUGGAAACGGGUGGUAAUGCCGGAUGCUCCGACUCCUCGCAUGGGGUGUCGGGAAAGAUUUCAUCGGUAUGGGAUGGGGUCGCGUCCUAUCAGGUAGUCGGCGGGGUAACGGCCCACCGAGCCUACGACGGGUAGCCGGCCUGAGAGGCGACCGGCCACAUUGGGACUGAGAUACGGCCCAGACUCCUACGGGAGGCAGCAGUGGGGAAUAUUGCACAAUGGGCGCAAGCCUGAUGCAGCGACGCCGCGUGCGGGAUGACGGCCUUCGGGUUGUAAACCGCUUUUGAUCGGGAGCAAGCCUUCGGGUGAGUGUACCUUUCGAAUAAGCACCGGCUAACUACGUGCCAGCAGCCGCGGUAAUACGUAGGGUGCAAGCGUUAUCCGGAAUUAUUGGGCGUAAAGGGCUCGUAGGCGGUUCGUCGCGUCCGGUGUGAAAGUCCAUCGCUUAACGGUGGAUCUGCGCCGGGUACGGGCGGGCUGGAGUGCGGUAGGGGAGACUGGAAUUCCCGGUGUAACGGUGGAAUGUGUAGAUAUCGGGAAGAACACCAAUGGCGAAGGCAGGUCUCUGGGCCGUUACUGACGCUGAGGAGCGAAAGCGUGGGGAGCGAACAGGAUUAGAUACCCUGGUAGUCCACGCCGUAAACGGUGGAUGCUGGAUGUGGGGCCCGUUCCACGGGUUCCGUGUCGGAGCUAACGCGUUAAGCAUCCCGCCUGGGGAGUACGGCCGCAAGGCUAAAACUCAAAGAAAUUGACGGGGGCCCGCACAAGCGGCGGAGCAUGCGGAUUAAUUCGAUGCAACGCGAAGAACCUUACCUGGGCUUGACAUGUUCCCGACAGCCGUAGAGAUAUGGCCUCCCUUCGGGGCGGGUUCACAGGUGGUGCAUGGUCGUCGUCAGCUCGUGUCGUGAGAUGUUGGGUUAAGUCCCGCAACGAGCGCAACCCUCGCCCUGUGUUGCCAGCACGUCAUGGUGGGAACUCACGGGGGACCGCCGGGGUCAACUCGGAGGAAGGUGGGGAUGACGUCAGAUCAUCAUGCCCCUUACGUCCAGGGCUUCACGCAUGCUACAAUGGCCGGUACAACGGGAUGCGACACGGCGACGUGGAGCGGAUCCCUGAAAACCGGUCUCAGUUCGGAUUGGAGUCUGCAACCCGACUCCAUGAAGGCGGAGUCGCUAGUAAUCGCGGAUCAGCAACGCCGCGGUGAAUGCGUUCCCGGGCCUUGUACACACCGCCCGUCAAGUCAUGAAAGUGGGUAGCACCCGAAGCCGGUGGCCUAACCCUUUGUGGAUGGAGCCGUCUAAGGUGAGACUCGUGAUUGGGACUAAGUCGUAACAAGGUAGCCGUACCGGAAGGUGCGGCUGGAUCACCUCCUUUCUACGGAG
This 1536-nucleotide ribosomal RNA is filed under the name Bifidobacterium pseudocatenulatum. RNAcentral describes it as "bacterial SSU rRNA". It matches the Rfam family "Bacterial small subunit ribosomal RNA". Lineage: Bacteria; Bacillati; Actinomycetota; Actinomycetes; Bifidobacteriales; Bifidobacteriaceae. The record is from RNAcentral.